UACAGAGGGGGCAAGCGUUGUUCGGAAUUACUGGGCGUAAAGGGCGCGUAGGCGGCCUGCUAAGUCGAACGUGAAAUCCCCGGGCUCAACCCGGGAACUGCGUCCGAUACUGGUUGGCUUGAAUCCGGGAGAGGGAUGCGGAAUUCCAGGUGUAGCGGUGAAAUGCGUAGAUAUCUGGAGGAACACCGGUGGCGAAGGCGGCAGCCUGGACCGGCAUUGACGCUGAGGCGCGAAAGCCAGGGGAGCAAACGGG
RNAcentral lists this ribosomal RNA (253 nucleotides) under uncultured bacterium. RNAcentral's name for it is "partial 16S ribosomal RNA". It matches the Rfam family "Bacterial small subunit ribosomal RNA", at positions 524 to 776 of the family's 1533-position model. The record is from RNAcentral.